GAAAAAAAAGUGACAGCCAUGAACUCCAUUUUCGGAUCCCAAAAACAGACAUAAAUGGCAGAAAAAGAGGGCAUAAAAAGUUAACCUCUAGAGCUAAAGAGGGGUCAGUAUACUGUCUGCAUACACUGGAUAUACCGUAGAUAUAUAUGGGGUAUACACGAUAUACAUUCGGCAUACAAAAGAUAUACAGUAGCGAAAAGGAGAAACCAAAAAAACGACCUCCAGCAACAAACCAGUGACGACGACAAACCAUCCAUACACCUUCUGUUUGUUGCCAAAUUUCUAGCGAGAUAGAUAUCCGUUGAGUUCCGUCGAGGGUGCCGGUUCGAGUUCCAUCAAGGUGGUCGCUGACCAUUUUUCUAGAGAUCCGUUGAGUUCCGUUGAGGGUGCCGGUUCGAGUUCCGUCGAGGUGGUCAAUGUCCAUUUUUCCGGCGAGUUCGAGCUUUGGAAACUCAACGUCACUGUAAAUGUUUGCUUGAAGUUGUAUUGAUGUACGGUUGUAAUCGCUGGUUCAUUUUAUCGGUAUAAACUACAGGUUCAAUAAAGUAUAUGAGAACUUUAAGCUAAACAAGUCUCUUGGUAUCUUGAGUUAGAAGGCAUCUAUUGUCAACUGGAUCUUUUUGUUCUAGAUGAAAUAACAAUUCCUAAAAUAUGAAUUCUUCUGAAAAUAAACAUACUUGUUAUGAAAUAAUGUAAAAGACAAGAACAAUAACUCAAGAACAAGAGCAAAGAGAGAGAAGAGUAGAGAGAGUUCUU
This 756-nucleotide long non-coding RNA is filed under the name Nicotiana benthamiana. Its description in RNAcentral is "long non-coding RNA (NBEN_LNC032097)". The record is from RNAcentral. Lineage: Eukaryota; Viridiplantae; Streptophyta; Magnoliopsida; Solanales; Solanaceae.